CAAACAAAUUUUUGUUUUAAAUAGUUGUCGAAAUCUAGUUCAAAUUUUGGAGAAAUAAGUUUAGUGAAUUGAUAAGAAAUGAAUUUAAGUGUGUUUUGCUCAUUUUAAGGGAUUGCAAUUGUAUUUUGGUCUGUCAAAUAUUUUUUGUUUUAAAUAGUUACCGAAAUCUAGUUCAAAUUUUGGAGAAAUUUGCGUGAUAUAUGGGAUUGAAAUAUAUUUGGAAUGUUUUUUAUUUGUUAAUUAAUUUAUUGCAAAAA
RNAcentral lists this small RNA (257 nucleotides) under Arabidopsis thaliana (thale cress). RNAcentral describes it as "ATSL284110". Lineage: Eukaryota; Viridiplantae; Streptophyta; Magnoliopsida; Brassicales; Brassicaceae. The record is from RNAcentral.